CAAUAGCGUAUAUUUAAGUUGUUGCAGUUAAAAAGCUCGUAGUUGGAUUUCGGUUAAGAGCGACCGGUCCGCCGUUUGGUGUGCACUGGUUGGUUUUAACUUCCUGUAGAGGACGUGCUCUGGGUUUAACGACCUGGACUCGGAGUCUACGUGGUUACUUUGAAAAAAUUAGUGUGUUCAAAGCGGGCUUACGCUUGAAUAUUUCAGCAUGGAAUAACACUAUAGGACUCCUGUCCUAUUUCGUUGGUCUCGGGACGGGAGUAAUGAUUAAGAGGAACAGUUGGGGGCAUUCGUAUUUCAUUGUCAGAGGUGAAAUUCUUGGAUUUAUGAAAGACGAACUUCUGCGAAAGCAUUUGCCAAGGAUGUUUUCAUUAA
Molecule: ribosomal RNA, 375 nt
Filed under: uncultured eukaryote
Lineage: Eukaryota
Description: partial 18S ribosomal RNA
Rfam family: Eukaryotic small subunit ribosomal RNA
Source: RNAcentral